RNAcentral lists this non-coding RNA (224 nucleotides) under Agrilactobacillus composti DSM 18527 = JCM 14202. RNAcentral's name for it is "Lactobacillus composti DSM 18527 = JCM 14202 Bacterial large subunit ribosomal RNA". It matches the Rfam family "Bacterial large subunit ribosomal RNA", at positions 283 to 501 of the family's 2925-position model. The record is from Rfam by way of RNAcentral. Lineage: Bacteria; Bacillati; Bacillota; Bacilli; Lactobacillales; Lactobacillaceae.
GCUUGCAUCCUGGGGUUGUAGGACUGGACAUUGGAGUUACAAAAAUUUGGAUUAGCUGAAUGACAUGGGAAGGUCAGCCACAGCGGGUGAGAGCCCCUUAAGCUAAAAUCUAAAUUCUCCGUCCAGGAUCCUGAGUACGGCCAGACACGUGAAAUCUGGUCGGAAUCCGGGAGGACCAUCUCCCAAGGCUAAAUACUACCUAGUGACCGAUAGUGAACCAGUAC